AGAGCGAACGCUGGCGGCAGGCUUAACACAUGCAAGUCGAGCGCCCAGCAAUGGGAGCGGCGGACGGGUGAGUAACACGUGGGAACAUGCCCUUUGGUACGGGACAACUCAGGGAAACUUGAGCUAAUACCGUAUGAGCCGGUAACGGGAAAGAUUUAUCGCCAAAGGAAUGGCCCGCGUCCGAUUAGCUAGUUGGUGAGGUAAUGGCUCACCAAGGCACCGAUCGGUAGCUGGUUUGAGAGAACGACCAGCCACACUGGGACUGAGACACGGCCCAGACUCCUACGGGAGGCAGCAGUGGGGAAUCUUGGACAAUGGGGGCAACCCUGAUCCAGCCAUGCCGCGUGAGUGAUGAAGGCCUUCGGGUUGUAAAACUCUUUCGACGGGGACGAUAAUGACGGUACCCGUAGAGAAGCUCCGGCUAACUUCGUGCCAGCAGCCGC
This 443-nucleotide ribosomal RNA is filed under the name uncultured bacterium. Its description in RNAcentral is "SSU rRNA". It matches the Rfam family "Bacterial small subunit ribosomal RNA", at positions 26 to 518 of the family's 1533-position model. The record is from RNAcentral.